Molecule: long non-coding RNA, 2043 nt
Organism: Aethalodelphis obliquidens (Pacific white-sided dolphin)
Lineage: Eukaryota; Metazoa; Chordata; Mammalia; Artiodactyla; Delphinidae
Exons: 3
Source: RefSeq, a predicted model, not a curated record
UGUGCUAACCCAGGGACAUGGCAAGGCGGUGUCCCCAUGGAGCAGAGAACUGGGGGACCCAGAGCCUGAGAGUAGAAGAAGACUGCACGGCCAUCACAGGCAAGAGCAGGCAGCACUCACAGUUACUGAGGAGAUUAAACUCACUGUGAGGCUCUGGAAGGCAAAACAAGGACCAACUGACAGAAUCUUCCAGGAGUCAGUGGCACACCAGUUACCACCUGGAUAUUCAAGCCCAGACCUGCUGUCUCUAGUGGUGAUGGUCUUGGAGAGAGCUGUAGGAGCUGAAGUCUGAGAGAAGCACAGUGACAGGCCUGCUGCGAGUCAGGGCAAGAAGAGCUCAAGAUGCAAUUUGCAGAGUCUGAAAUCACUCACUGAGCCAGUCUGAUUUGAGAAGGGCUGCGUGGCAGACAAUCUCCACGAUUUCCUGGACUCCUCACUGUUCACCUCCCACGGCUGGUCUGACCAUGGCAGUUCCACUGUCAGGUCUGACAGGACUGAGGUGUCCCAGUGCCCACCUGCUACAUCAAACAAGGAGGUGGGAGAGAAGUAAUUUCACUCCCUUAACAUCCGGAGCAGCUCCUCGGCUGCCAUCAGGACCGCCUGGUGGGGUAUGGGAGAGUCUCUGGGAGACCACAGGCUCAAAUGAACCUUGACAGGUAAUCAUUCCCCAGAGCAGCAGGUGAGUAGUGAUUAGUGCUCCCAGGGAGAGAGAGAGGUGGCCGUGCCUCCGCCAGUUCCCUAAGACACCAGCCUGGAAGUUGCUGGAACCAGUGCAAGGGAGAGGAGGCCCCCAGGUGCUGUGGGAUCAUCUUUCUGUGACAGCCCAGAAUCCACCACCAAAAGGCCCUUCUAGAUUGAUCUUUGCUCAGCGGUUGAGGGUUAGAGGUCAAGGUGAAACAGAUGUCUCUCCUUCUACACCAAGAGCUCCUAAGGGCAGGAAUCAAAUCUCAUUCGUGUUGGAUCCCCAUGACUUAGUACAGUGCUGGCACACUGUAGGGUCUUAUUACAUGUUUCUUGUAUGACUGGAUAAAUUAUGUAUAUAAGUAUAACUAAUGAAGGGAUAAGGUGACACAUGGAUCGUGGAGGCCCAUUCAAGGUUUGGGAGUGCAGAAUGGGGAGAGGUCACCCACCCAGGGUGGGCUGCGAGUAGGAUCCUCCAGAAAAGCCAGUGCUCUAGCUAGUCUUGAGACACCCUGAAGAAGGAGGCUCUGAGCUGGGCUCCUGGAGGAUGGGGAGGAUUGGGGAACCAAAGGGGGGAAUGCAUUCUAGAUGCAUUCUGUGGCUGCAUACAUACGUGCCUGGUGUGUGUGCACAUGUGCGUGCAUAUGUGUUUGCUCAGAGGCUGGUGGGGUUGACCUUGUCGGGGCAGAAAUGAGAUUCUGAUUUCAAGGGACCCACUAGGUUUUCCUAACAGUCCUGGGAGAAAGAUGCAAUUAUACUCACUCUGCAGAUGAGGGAACAGAGGCUCAGGGAGGUGGGGUGACCUGCUCUAAGUCACACAGUGGCAGAGCCAUGAUCUGAGCCAGGUCUGACCAAGGGCUGCCCAGAGUCAGCCCAGCUCAUCCAGGGAAGUCGGGUCCCUUCUCUGCAGAGGCCUGGAGUAGUCAGCUGCUGUGCACCGUGAGGGGGCAGGAGGGUCUGCAGGUGGAGCCCUGGGGGGCACAGACCUCUCCCAAGGGCAUUUCUACUUCUGUCGCAAAGGGCCAAGAACAGCAGCUUUCAGGAUCAGCUCAUGGUGGAGGGGUGGAAGGCUGGGGUCCAGCAGGUGUAUGCCCAUGUUCCAUCCCUGAGUGCACACUUACCUGGAGAGGCAGAAGGCAAGGUUGGAUGGUCUGUCAGAAUCUGAGUCCUGGCUGGUUUCCACAGCCCCUGCCCGCCCAACGUGAAACCGUGCACCUCAGAUUGGGACUUGAACCCACGUGGCGGGGACUCAAACCCGCCAAAACCCUGAGUCUUCCAACUGAGAUCACACACCUGGUUUCGGGACUUAAUGAAGCUCAGGUUCUUGAUGUCGCAUCGCAGAAAGAAUUCAGUGAGAGGCAA